UCGAACGAUGAACCACUUCGGUGGGGAUUAGUGGCGAACGGGUGAGUAACACGUGGGCAAUCUGCCCUGCACUCUGGGACAAGCCCUGGAAACGGGGUCUAAUACCGGAUACUGAUCGCCUUGGGCAUCCUUGGUGAUCGAAAGCUCCGGCGGUGCAGGAUGAGCCCGCGGCCUAUCAGCUUGUUGGUGAGGUAAUGGCUCACCAAGGCGACGACGGGUAGCCGGCCUGAGAGGGCGACCGGCCACACUGGGACUGAGACACGGCCCAGACUCCUACGGGAGGCAGCAGUGGGGAAUAUUGCACAAUGGGCGAAAGCCUGAUGCAGCGACGCCGCGUGAGGGAUGACGGCCUUCGGGUUGUAAACCUCUUUCAGCAGGGAAGAAGCGAAAGUGACGGUACCUGCAGAAGAAGCGCCGGCUAACUACGUGCCAGCAGCCGCGGUAAUACGUAGGGCGCGAGCGUUGUCCGGAAUUAUUGGGCGUAAAGAGCUCGUAGGCGGCUUGUCGCGUCGGUUGUGAAAGCCCGGGGCUUAACCCCGGGUCUGCAGUCGAUACGGGCAGGCUAGAGUUCGGUAGGGGAGAUCGGAAUUCCUGGUGUAGCGGUGAAAUGCGCAGAUAUCAGGAGGAACACCGGUGGCGAAGGCGGAUCUCUGGGCCGAUACUGACGCUGAGGAGCGAAAGCGUGGGGAGCGAACAGGAUUAGAUACCCUGGUAGUCCACGCCGUAAACGGUGGGCACUAGGUGUGGGCGACAUUCCACGUCGUCCGUGCCGCAGCUAACGCAUUAAGUGCCCCGCCUGGGGAGUACGGCCGCAAGGCUAAAACUCAAGGAAUUGACGGGGGCCCGCACAAGCGGCGGAGCAUGUGGCUUA
RNAcentral lists this ribosomal RNA (871 nucleotides) under Streptomyces thermocarboxydus. RNAcentral's name for it is "bacterial SSU rRNA". It matches the Rfam family "Bacterial small subunit ribosomal RNA", at positions 62 to 948 of the family's 1533-position model. Lineage: Bacteria; Bacillati; Actinomycetota; Actinomycetes; Kitasatosporales; Streptomycetaceae. The record is from RNAcentral.